Dermochelys coriacea (leatherback sea turtle) is the source of this 248-nucleotide long non-coding RNA. RefSeq lists it as uncharacterized. The record is from RefSeq and is a predicted model, not a curated record. The transcript has 3 exons. Lineage: Eukaryota; Metazoa; Chordata; Testudines; Dermochelyidae.
AUUCGCAAAAAGAAGGGGAGUACCCGUGGCACCUUAGAGACUAGCAGAUUUAUUGGAGCAUGGGCUUUCGUGGGCUGCGGCUCACUUCGUCGGAUGCGUUUGGUGGAAAAAGCAGAGCUCUCCUCUGCUUUUUCCACCGGGUGCAUCCGAUGGGGUGAGCUGUGGCUCGCGGGGGCUUGUGCUCUGGUGGAUUUGUUGGUCUCUGGGGUGCCACAAGUACUCCUUUUCUUUUUAUAUAGACCAACACA